GACGAACGCUGGCGGCGUGCUUAACACAUGCAAGUCGAACGAUGAACCUCGAAAUGAUUUCUUCGGAAAGAUUUUUGAGAGGAUUAGUGGCGAACGGGUGAGUAACGCGUGAGCAACCUGCCUUAGACAAGGGGAUAGCCUCGGGAAACCGUGAUUAAUACCCUAUGAGACUCCACUUACGAGUGUAAGAGAAGUUAAAACUAUUGCGGUCUAAGAUGGGCUCGCGUCUGAUUAGCUAGUUGGUGAGAUAAAAGCCCACCAAGGCGACGAUCAGUAACCGGCUUGAGAGAGUGAACGGUCACAUUGGAACUGAGACACGGUCCAAACUCCUACGGGAGGCAGCAGUGGGGAAUAUUGCACAAUGGGGGCAACCCUGAUGCAGCGACGCCGCGUGAGCGAUGAAGGAAUUCGUUUCGUAAAGCUCUGUCCUUGGAGAAGAUAAUGACGGUAACCAAGGAGGAAGCACCGGCUAAAUACGUG
Molecule: ribosomal RNA, 480 nt
Filed under: uncultured bacterium
Lineage: Bacteria
Description: partial 16S ribosomal RNA
Rfam family: Bacterial small subunit ribosomal RNA
Source: RNAcentral